AUUAUUGGAUAGUCGACUUAGAUGUUGUCAUUGCUUGCGUCACUUAAACCUUUUGUGAAUUGUUGACCGACUUUAGACCAUCUCCAUUGGGAAAGAGAGUGUAGAAAGUUUCUUACUUGAGAAACUUUGAGAUACUUUACAACCCAUCAUGACAAUUCUCAUCUUACUAUUGGUUCAAUUUUUUAACAAAAAUAC
This 195-nucleotide small RNA is filed under the name Arabidopsis thaliana (thale cress). RNAcentral describes it as "ATSL245220". Lineage: Eukaryota; Viridiplantae; Streptophyta; Magnoliopsida; Brassicales; Brassicaceae. The record is from RNAcentral.